RNAcentral lists this long non-coding RNA (274 nucleotides) under Mytilus galloprovincialis (Mediterranean mussel). The record is from RNAcentral. Lineage: Eukaryota; Metazoa; Mollusca; Bivalvia; Mytilida; Mytilidae.
UUUUUUUCGGAAAUAAAUUAUUUGAUUCUUCACUUGAAAAAAAUAUAUCUGUCAUUCAAGGAAGAAAACAAUCUGAAAGGGAAUAUUUAACAUAAACUAUAAUGCCAAACAAUGAAGGAUAUGUUGCACCACGUAAAAAAACAAAACAUGAAUUGAUCAGAGAUUUUGUUUUAGUUAAAAGGCCGAUCCCUUUGGGUAGGACAAUUUAACUUGCAAAAAAGUAAUUUGCAUGGAAUUUUCGUAGAAAAACAAGGGAAGAAAAAAAUAUUUUGAG